Non-coding RNA from Pelobates cultripes (western spadefoot toad), 1186 nucleotides. The record is from the annotation of a GenBank genome assembly. Lineage: Eukaryota; Metazoa; Chordata; Amphibia; Anura; Pelobatidae.
GUCAUUUGUACACCUUUUAGUGGUCACUGUGUCUGUACAUGAAGAUGCUGCUAUCCCAAGUACAAGUUUGCAUGGCCAUAAGACACACGUUUCUGAAAUACCUAUUGCACGUGUUCUGAAAAUAAAAUAACAAGUUAGAGUACUGCAAGGAUAACAGCCCAGGGCAACAUAUUUUGGGAUAUGUAAGCAUUUGUUUAUUAAUUGAGGAGCUUAGUGAUUGGCAAAGUACAAAGAGAGUGGAAGAUGUGACGGACGGGAGAGCAUGCGAAUAUUCUCAGGAUUUUUACUAAGCUUGAAAUUAUGGGUAAACUAACAAAAUGUUAUAUUUUUUUUUCAAAAAAAAAUUAAAAAAUAUGUCUUUAGAAAUCAGAUUUUAGGCCUAAGAUGUACAAUUUACUAUUCAUUUCCCAAAUGUAUCUUUAUCAAAUAGCCUUCAUACCCUACAUCUACACAGGAACUGCCACUUCCUCACUUAUUUUUUUUAAUAUUUAGUAGUGUGUUUGGGCCAACUACUAUGCAUACAUGUUUUGUGGUUGUGUUUAGAUGAUUUGUGUCAUGAUUUAAAUGAAUUAAACUGUAAUUUUUAUUGUGUGCCGUUGGGGGUAUCUAUCGGUUUACCAAUGGUCAUUUUUAUUUUUUUUCAAAAGGUUCUUUGAAUCUGAAUUCUUAUUUUUCCACCGGCCAGAAAUUGCUGAAUUUUCGGAGUUGUCAAUUUAUGUAACGGUGAGGCUUAGAGAAUCAACAUCCGAACUGUAUUUUUCAAUAUGUCUUAUUUGAAAUCUCAUUUUCUAUUCCAAUAAUCAUAUUUGCCACAGUUUUAUUUAAUGCAACUGAUGUUAUGUUUCGCGUGCAUUUAUAUAUUUCUUUGUAUCUCUCUCCCUGCAGUAAUAUUUACUGCAGCCGUAGCUUUUCGAUAUUACCAUUUCUAUAGAUCGAUCAUUCUGUCAGUCUUUAUUUCUCAAAGUAGCUUCAUCACUGUGUGAUAUUGUCAUGUCAACAAUCGUAUGGUCCACUGCGCUCUUAUAAUAACUGUUAGGCAUUAUGGAAAGUGUUAGUGUGUGAAGAAACCAAGCUUAAUAUUUUUACUUUUCGGCUGAUUACAUGCUCUCUUUGUAAAUGAACAUGUAGUGUGCUCCCCCCACCCCCAGGAGUAUAAGAUAUACAUUUUCACUGUAAUAGAUCAUCC